UCUAGCCUGCCCACUGAUUUAGUUUAAAGGGCCGCGGUAUAUUGACCGUGCGAAGGUAGCAUAAUCAUUAGUCUUUUAAUUGAAGGCUUGUAUGAAUGGUUGGACAAAAAGUAAGCUGUCUCAAUUAUAAUGAUUGAACUUAACUUUUAAGUGAAAAGGCUUAAAUAAAUUAAGGGGACGAUAAGACCCUAUAAAGCUUGACAAUAAUUUAAUUAUACUAUCAAUUGUUAGUAUAACUUGGUUUUAAUUAAGAUUUGUUGCGUUGGGGCGACGAGAAUAUAAUAGGUAACUGUUCUUAAAUAUUUAAUAACAAAUAUAAUUGAAAAUUAGUGUGAUCCUCUAUUAGCGAUUAAAAGAUUAAGUUACUUUAGGGAUAACAGCGUAAUCUUCUUUGAGAGUCCCUAUCGACAAGAAGGUUUGCGACCUCGAUGUUGAAUUAAGGUAUCCUUAUGAUGCAGCAGUUAUAAAGGAA
RNAcentral lists this ribosomal RNA (472 nucleotides) under Penaeus merguiensis. RNAcentral describes it as "partial 16S ribosomal RNA". It matches the Rfam family "Bacterial large subunit ribosomal RNA", at positions 1853 to 2572 of the family's 2925-position model. Lineage: Eukaryota; Metazoa; Arthropoda; Malacostraca; Decapoda; Penaeidae. The record is from RNAcentral.